Long non-coding RNA from Neofelis nebulosa (Clouded leopard), 853 nucleotides. RefSeq lists it as uncharacterized. NCBI's taxonomy places the organism in Eukaryota, Metazoa, Chordata, Mammalia, Carnivora, Felidae. The transcript is spliced from 4 exons. The record is from RefSeq and is a predicted model, not a curated record.
AAGGAGAGGAAAAGCCAUGUUCAUGCUGCUGGAUUCACAACUUGUCCCAUCCUUCUGUGAUGUCAUAAUUCGAGCAGCAGCCCACAAAUCUGAACACUAACCAGCCCUGUAACUGGUCCCCACCUCCCACACACUUUUCAUCACCCACUUGCACACAACAUCUGGGGACUCUAUUUCCACCCUACUAUCCUGUGAGCUAACUGCCCAGAUUCCGUGUCCAGCGAUACUCAGAGAGCCGGUAUCCUCAGGAGGUCUCUGCCCAAGUGUCCACCCCUCAGAGAGUCCUCGCCAGACCUCCAAAUAUAAAGUCCCAUGCAUCCUGUCUCCUCUGCACGUUUUCCUUUUCUAUGACUUCAUGCCACUUAUUCCAAAGCAUCUCACGAUGCACUAUGGGGAAUCCAGGAAUACCUGCUAGAGACCAGGCAUGCAGGAAAUCUGGACAUUUCUGUGGCAAAGAACCCAAGAGAUGCUGACACCAACUUUCUUCUUGACAGAGAGGGAAGCACACAGCUCUGGGGGCCUUCUAGAGUCACGGCCCUCGCUCACCAGGAGAUUAACCCGUCAGGCUGUCGAGUGAGAAGGGACGGAGCAGACCCUGACAGGAGGCCCGCAAUGCAGGGGAAAUCAAAACAAAUCCACCUGCUCAGGGAAGACUUUUUCGACACCUCGUCCCCCUACGGACAUCUGUGGCAAGUGUCAUCCCGACCACUGGUGUGGCACUGGAUCAUUUAUGACUGCCUCAUGACAUUAUUUUUCACUGUUGUCUUUGUAUUGUUGUUUGAGGACUUUGUGUAAUGGUCUCUUCUCACUCCACAAAUAAACUGCAGCACCUGGCAGGCGGGGAGCAGCUUGA